GACGAACGCUGGCGGCGUGCUUAACACAUGCAAGUCGAACGGAAAGGCCCUGCUUUUGUGGGGUGCUCGAGUGACUGACUGGUGAUUAACACGUGAGUAACCUGCCCUUGACUUUGGGAUAACUUCAGGAAACUGGGGCUAAUACCGGAUAGGAGCUCCUGCUGCAUGGUGGGGGUUGGAAAGUUUCGGCGGUUGGGGAUGGACUCGCGGCUUAUCAGCUUGUUGGUGGGGUAGUGGCUUACCAAGGCUUUGACGGGUAGCCGGCCUGAGAGGGUGACCGGCAACAUUGGGACGGAGAUAAGGCCCAGACUCCUACGGGAGGCAGCAGAGGAGAAUAUAGAAAAAUGGGAGGAAGCCUGAUGCGGCAACGCCGCGUGCGGGAUAACGGCCUUCGGGUUGUAAACCGAUUUCGCCUGUGACGAAGCGGGAGUGACGGUAAUGGGUAAAGAAGCACCGGCUAACUACGUG
Molecule: ribosomal RNA, 468 nt
Filed under: uncultured bacterium
Lineage: Bacteria
Description: partial 16S ribosomal RNA
Rfam family: Bacterial small subunit ribosomal RNA
Source: RNAcentral